This 379-nucleotide ribosomal RNA is filed under the name uncultured bacterium. Its description in RNAcentral is "partial 16S ribosomal RNA". It matches the Rfam family "Bacterial small subunit ribosomal RNA", at positions 338 to 734 of the family's 1533-position model. The record is from RNAcentral.
CCUACGGGUGGCAGCAGUGGGGGAUAUUGCACAAUGGGGGAAAGCCUGAUGCAGCGACGCCGCGUGUGGGAAGACGGUCCUCUGGAUUGUAAACCACUGUCCCCAGGGACGAAGAUGACGGUACCUGGGGCGGAAGCUCCGGCUAACCACGUGCCAGCAGCCGCGGUAAUAUGCAGGUAGCGAGCGUUGUCCGGAUUUACUGGGUGUAACGGGAGCGUAGGCGGGACUGCAAGUUGGGGGUCAAAUCUACCGGCUCAACCGGUAGCCGCACUCAAAACUGCAGUUCUUGAGUGGAGUAGAGGCAGGCGGAAUGCCUGGUGUAGCGGUGAAAUGCGUAGAUAGCAGGAGGAACACCGGUGGCGAAGGCAGCCUGCUGGGC